Molecule: ribosomal RNA, 460 nt
Filed under: uncultured bacterium
Lineage: Bacteria
Description: partial 16S ribosomal RNA
Rfam family: Bacterial small subunit ribosomal RNA
Source: RNAcentral
CCUACGGGUGGCAGCAGUGAGGAAUAUUGGUCAAUGGACGAGAGUCUGAACCAGCCAAGUAGCGUGAAGGAUGACUGCCCUAUGGGUUGUAAACUUCUUUUAUAUGGGAAUAAAACGUUCCACGUGUGGGAUUUUGUAUGUACCAUAUGAAUAAGGAUCGGCUAACUCCGUGCCAGCAGCCGCGGUAAUACGGAGGAUCCGAGUGUUAUCCGGAUUUAUUGGGUUUAAAGGGAGCGUAGGUGGAUUGUUAAGUCAGUUGUGAAAGUUUGCGGCUCAACCGUAAAAUUGCAGUUGAAACUGGCAGUCUUGAGUACAGUAGAGGUGGGCGGAAUUCGUGGUGUAGCGGUGAAAGGCUUAGAUAUCACGAAGAACUCCGAUUGCGAAGGCAGCUCACUGGACUGCAACUGACACUGAGGCUCGAAAGUGUGGGUAUCAAACAGGAUUAGAUACCCUUGUAGUC